CUCGGAUUGUAAACUCCUGUUAAGUGGGAAGAAAGACUUAUACCUAAUACGUAUGAGGGAUGACGGUACCACUAGAGAAAGCACCGGCAAACUUCGUGC
RNAcentral lists this ribosomal RNA (99 nucleotides) under uncultured bacterium. RNAcentral's name for it is "partial 16S ribosomal RNA". The record is from RNAcentral.